This 77-nucleotide transfer RNA is filed under the name Ahrensia sp. Its description in RNAcentral is "tRNA-Thr". It matches the Rfam family "tRNA". Rfam says of the family: Transfer RNA (tRNA) molecules are approximately 80 nucleotides in length. The record is from RNAcentral. Lineage: Bacteria; Pseudomonadati; Pseudomonadota; Alphaproteobacteria; Hyphomicrobiales; Ahrensiaceae.
GCCCUCGUAGCUCAAUUUGGUAGAGCACCCGAAUUGUAAUCGGGAAGAUGGAGGUUCGAAUCCGACCGAGGGCCCCA